AGUAGACUUCAAAUAGUCUACAAUGCCGAGCACCAUUCGGCGGUUUCGCAGAUAGGUCAAUUCUCGCAAGUAAGGUAUCUUUUGCUCCGCUUAUUUGAUAUAGCAUUCCUUGGAACAGGACGUCACAGAGGGUGAGAAUCCCGUGCGAUGAGGAGUCCAAUUCUAUGUAAAGUUCCUUCGAAGAGUCGAGUUGUUUGGGAAUGCAGCUCUAAGUGGGUGGUAAAUUCCAUCUAAAGCUAAAUAUUGGCGAGAGACCGAUAGCGAACAAGUACAGUGAUGGAAAGAUGAAAAGAACUUUGAAAAGAGAGUGAAAAAGUACGUGAAAUUGUUGAAAGGGAAGGGCUUUUGAUCAGACUUGGUGUUUAGUACUCUCUGCUCCUUGUGGGUGGGGCUCUUGCUUUAUACUGGGCCAGCAUCGGUUUUGAUGGCAGGAUAAUGACUUUGGAACGUGGCUUCAUUCGUGAAGUGUUAUAGCCUUUGUUGAUACUGCCUAUCGAGACCGAGGACUGCGUCUUUGACUAGGAUGCUGGCGUAAUGAUUAAAAGCC
This 547-nucleotide ribosomal RNA is filed under the name [Candida] sp. A1vMP80. RNAcentral's name for it is "eukaryotic LSU rRNA". It matches the Rfam family "Eukaryotic large subunit ribosomal RNA", at positions 1 to 646 of the family's 3401-position model. The record is from RNAcentral. Lineage: Eukaryota; Fungi; Ascomycota; Saccharomycetes; Saccharomycetales.